CCUACGGGAGGCAGCAGUGGGGGAUAUUGCACAAUGGGGGAAACCCUGAUGCAGCGACGCCGCGUGUGGGAAGACGGUCCUCUGGAUUGUAAACCACUGUCCCCAGGGACGAAGAUGACGGUACCUGGGGAGGAAGCUCCGGCUAACGACGGGCCAGCAGCUGCGGGAAUACGUAGGGAGCGAGCGUUGUCCGGAAUUCCUGGGUGUAAAGGGAGCGUAGGCGGGACUGCAAGUUGGGUGGCAAAUCUACCGGCUCAACCGGUAGGCGCACUCGAAACUGCAGUUCUUGAGUGAAGUAGAGGCAGGCGGAAUGCCUGGUGUAGCGGUGAAAUGCGUAGAUAUUAGGAGGAACACCAGUGGCGAAGGCGGCCUGCUGGGCUUUUACUGACGCUGAGGCUCGAAAGUGUGGGGAGCAAACAGGAUUAGAUACCCGGGUAGUC
Molecule: ribosomal RNA, 440 nt
Filed under: uncultured bacterium
Lineage: Bacteria
Description: partial 16S ribosomal RNA
Rfam family: Bacterial small subunit ribosomal RNA
Source: RNAcentral